AUGAAACUGUUGAGGAAGUUGUCGUUGGUUGUACGAGCAUCUCAUAUUGUUGUAAAUGGUGGCCACUUCUUUUUUCAUGUAAAGACAAAUCUUCUAUUCUAUGUCAUACGUAUUAGUUCUGAGACAGACUAUCAUUUACUUUAUCAUUUUUUUUGUUCUCCCGUAAUUUUCACUAUUUUCAGUUUUAUUAAUUGUUCAGAUUGGCGUCAGAUCUUCUUCUCUAUUCUUUCUUUUAGUUUCCCUCAGUCUUAUUUAGUAUGUCUUCAGCUUUUCUUUUUUGUAGUUUCUUAUUUUAAUCUUGCAGUCGGUACCUAA
Molecule: ribosomal RNA, 315 nt
Filed under: Triticum aestivum (bread wheat)
Lineage: Eukaryota; Viridiplantae; Streptophyta; Magnoliopsida; Poales; Poaceae
Description: partial small subunit ribosomal RNA
Source: RNAcentral